UCGCUUCUACAUCCGGUGUGUCUCCUGCUGCGCCGAGGUAUGUAUACGAAC
Molecule: non-coding RNA, 51 nt
Filed under: Bigelowiella longifila
Lineage: Eukaryota; Cercozoa; Chlorarachniophyceae
Source: RNAcentral